Molecule: non-coding RNA, 106 nt
Organism: Acanthosepion pharaonis
Lineage: Eukaryota; Metazoa; Mollusca; Cephalopoda; Sepiida; Sepiidae
Source: the annotation of a GenBank genome assembly
UUACGGCCACAUCACAUUGAAUCACCAGUUCCCGUACAAUUACCGAAGUUAAGCAACGUCAAACCUAGUCAGUACCUAGAUGGGUGAACGCUUGGGAAUACUAGGA